GGGGAACCAGGACUUUUACUGUGAAAAAAUUAGAGUGCUCCAGGCAGGCCUAUGCUCGAAUACAUUAGCAUGGAAUAAUUGAAUAGGACGUGUGGUUCUAUUUUGUUGGUUUCUAGGACCGCCGUAAUGAUUAAUAGGGACAGUCGGGGGCAUCAGUAUUCAAUUGUCAGAGGUGAAAUUCUUGGAUCUAUUGAAGACUAACUACUGCGAAAGCAUUUGCCAAGGAUGUUUUCAUUGAUAAGGAACGAAAGUUAGGGGAUCGAAGACGAUCAGAUACCGUCGUAGUCUUAACUAUAAACUAUGCCGACUAGGGAUCGGACGAUGUUAUUUCUUGACGCGUUCGGCACCUUUCGAGAAAUCAAAGUGCUUGGGCUCCAGGGGGAGUAUGGUCGCAAGGCUGAAACUUAAAGAAAUUGACGGAAGGGCACCACCAGGGGUGGAACCUGCGGCUUAAUUUGACUCAACACGGGGAAACUCACCAGGUCCAGACACAGUGAGGAUUGACAGAUUGAGAGCUCUUUCUUGAUUCUGUGGGUGGUGGUGCAUGGCCGUUCUUAGUUGGUGGAGUGAUUUGUCUGCUUAAUUGCGAUAACGAACGAGACCU
RNAcentral lists this ribosomal RNA (604 nucleotides) under uncultured fungus. RNAcentral describes it as "SSU rRNA". It matches the Rfam family "Eukaryotic small subunit ribosomal RNA", at positions 737 to 1343 of the family's 1831-position model. Lineage: Eukaryota; Fungi. The record is from RNAcentral.